Molecule: ribosomal RNA, 253 nt
Filed under: uncultured bacterium
Lineage: Bacteria
Description: partial 16S ribosomal RNA
Rfam family: Bacterial small subunit ribosomal RNA
Source: RNAcentral
UACGUAGGGGGCUAGCGUUGUCCGGAAUCAUUGGGCGUAAAGCGCGUGUAGGCGGCCCCUUAAGUCCUGCGUGAAAUCCUGCGGCUCAACCGCAGACGGUCGUGGGAAACUGGAGGGCUAGAGUGCGGGAGAGGAGAGUGGAAUUCCCGGUGUAGCGGUGAAAUGCGCAGAUAUCGGGAAGAACACCCGUGGCGAAGGCGGCUCUCUGGAACGCAACUGACGCUGAGACGCGAAAGCGUGGGGAGCAAACAGG